AAGGUUUUAAGUUAACUAAACUAGUAACCUUCAAAGUUGAAAAUAUUGAUUUAAAUUUAAACCUUA
RNAcentral lists this transfer RNA (66 nucleotides) under Perkinsiella saccharicida. RNAcentral's name for it is "tRNA-Trp". The record is from RNAcentral. Lineage: Eukaryota; Metazoa; Arthropoda; Insecta; Hemiptera; Delphacidae.